AAUGAAAUAGUUCAGUAGGUUAGAACGUUGGAAUCAUAAUCCAAAUGUCGUGAGUUCGAAUCUCUCUUUCAUUA
Molecule: transfer RNA, 74 nt
Filed under: Stephanopyxis turris
Lineage: Eukaryota; Bacillariophyta; Melosirophyceae; Stephanopyxales; Stephanopyxidaceae
Description: tRNA-Met
Rfam family: tRNA
About the family: Transfer RNA (tRNA) molecules are approximately 80 nucleotides in length. Their secondary structure includes four short double-helical elements and three loops (D, anti-codon, and T loops).
Source: RNAcentral